AGUUUCACUAAAACUAGAACUCUACUAUUAAUGAAGAAUUAAUUAUUAAUUAAUUCAAUUUGAUUGAGUAAAGAGCUUUAGAUCAAGUCUAAUUGAAUUAGAUUCAGUUGGACUCAGAUUGGGUUUGGUAUGAUCAAUCCUGAUUACAAAAGAAAUUUGAUCCUGAUUCGAUCAAGAUUUGCAAUCAGCCAAUUCCUAAUUGG
RNAcentral lists this long non-coding RNA (203 nucleotides) under Elaeis guineensis (African oil palm). RNAcentral's name for it is "long non-coding RNA (EGUI_LNC058252)". The record is from RNAcentral. Lineage: Eukaryota; Viridiplantae; Streptophyta; Magnoliopsida; Arecales; Arecaceae.